This 675-nucleotide long non-coding RNA is filed under the name Gallus gallus (chicken). Its description in RNAcentral is "lncRNA (ENSGALG00010025525.1)". Lineage: Eukaryota; Metazoa; Chordata; Aves; Galliformes; Phasianidae. The record is from RNAcentral.
AAGGAAGUUCAUUAGAUCAUCCUACAAAGAGAAAAAUCUACUUGAAUUCCCUUGGAAGAGUUCCAUCAUGUUCAAUUACAUUGAAGAUGCUGCCCUCAGCAAGUAAAGCAACAUGCACUGCUUUUUGGGAUAGGAAAGGACUGAUCCUUCUUGAUUUCCUGGAGUCCAGACAAACCAUCAACUCCAUCUGCUAUAUAUCAGCUGUUUAGGGAAAGGACGUAUAUGAAGCCUUCCUCAGACAACUGGAAGAAGUCUCACAUUUGCAGACGUGUUCACCACCUCAGUAUCUGCCAGAAGGGCACCAGCAAGCCAGGAGGCUUUUGGAGUGCAUCAGUGACAGCUUCCUAACACAGCACUCAGCUGACUUGGAGUCCACAAUUUUUCUCUUCAUACAGCCCAGAAAGAGUUCAGAGAAGAUUUACAAUUAUGAGGACAUAUAUCCCUCACAACAAAAGGAAAGCUGAAGUAAUCCAAAUGAUAUAUAAAACUUGCUUUGAUGACCUAUUGAUUUGCUUAAGUGGAUUCCUGAAACAUCUGGGGCGCACAGAUAUGGCACUGAACCAUCUCCGGCAGACAGGAUUAAAGCUAAAAGUUCAGAAUUGAUGUUUCAUUCAAUAAGAUCUGAAAUAAAGCGUGUAUUCCCUUUGACAAAUGUAUCAGUUCAGCAGAGAGGAC